CAAGUAAAUCCUUCAAUUUUUGGCAUUUGCCUGUAUAAUAAUAAUCAACCGGAACAUCCACAUGCUGGCUUCAAGAUGCCAAGGACACUUCAACCACUUAGUAAUUCUGAUGAACAGCGCAUAAAGAAGAACUGGAGUUUUUUGAAAGAAGAGCUACAUCAAGAUGAGAUAAGAGAUGCAUUUAUGGAUGAAGAUAUCUGGGAUGUCAAGGACUUUGAUGAAAUUGAUGCAAUGCCUACUCCAAAUAAAAAGAAUGAAGUUUUCCUUAGGCUAUUAUUAAAGUCUGGACCAGGGGCAUACAAAGUUUUUGUUGAUGCUUUGAAAGCAAAACACUCUGAUCAUAUUUUAGAAAAACUUAAAAAUACACCAAUUACUGAGAAUAAACAGGCAGCCCAAGUGGACCAUUUUGCAAAACUAACAGAUGCUCAGAAAUCGCAUUACCUCACCGAACAAAAUCUCCUCAAAUUCAACAAAUGUUUUGGAAGUGAUGUUGAAAUAGUUGGGAAAGCUUUACUCCUUACACAGUCCGAUAUUGAUGUGAUAAGAAUGGAAAACCCAUAUUCUGCAAUCACACAGAUUCAUAAGAUUAUUCUCAGAUGGAAAUAUAAAAAUGGAAGAAAUGCAACAUUGGGAGAAUUAACCAGGUGUUUUAUGGAUGCAGAGAAUGCUGGUGCAAGAGUGGACUGGGACAAGUUUGAUCAAGGUGUUAAUGUUUUGACACAGAACAUGUAGGCUAGAACAAAAGACAAUAGCCAGUAUUUGACUACAGUUGAACAUCAGUAAUUUAUCAAAUACCAUGAAUAUGUUAAAAUAAGUUGAAAGUCUCAAGUUUUGUUUGUUUUUUUUUUUUUUUUUUUUUUUUUUUUUUUUUUUUGUAUACAUGUAUUUUUACUCUGAUAUCUUGAAUCCAUUAAAAUCUCCCACUUUUUUCUCAGCUCCAUUGAGUUUAAGACAACGAGGUUGACUGUGGUUAGUUCUGUAAAUUAAAGAACUGAUACUUUCACAGAAUACAGAGUUAACAAAAAAUUAUUGUAUUUUACUUUCUAUAAGAAAGGUGGAUCAAAAUUCAACAUAUGAAUUUAAAGACUUUACUUGUGUUGAUCUACUGAGCAUUAGAAAGUAUUACAUAUACAUGUAUCUGAAGAAAACAACAAAAGUGCUUAUAUUUUAACAAGAAGUGUU
Saccostrea echinata is the source of this 1182-nucleotide RNA transcript. It is a transcript of the gene named death domain-containing protein CRADD-like, with no coding region annotated. The record is from RefSeq and is a predicted model, not a curated record. The transcript is spliced from 4 exons. Lineage: Eukaryota; Metazoa; Mollusca; Bivalvia; Ostreida; Ostreidae.